Molecule: long non-coding RNA, 475 nt
Filed under: Elaeis guineensis (African oil palm)
Lineage: Eukaryota; Viridiplantae; Streptophyta; Magnoliopsida; Arecales; Arecaceae
Description: long non-coding RNA (EGUI_LNC052878)
Source: RNAcentral
CUCGUAUUUUCUUCCUACCUGGUGCGCCAAUCUAUUGCGGCCAAUCCUCUAUUGUGUCCGUCGCCGGUGAAGAGCACCUACAAAAUAAAGUCCGCACUGAUUGAAAUUGUGUCCGGCGGAGAUUUUUCGAUAAAUGUUUAGAGAGGUAGAUUAUCAGCUCAAAAGAGUGUCUUACCAAAUGCUGUUCAUUUACUUUUUUUUAUAGACGAGUUGUUGGUAACCAUUUGUAACGGUUAGACAUGUGGAUCCCGCUUAUUUCAGUAUUAUGUGAUUGUGGGAUGGGUAGUUAUACCCACCACUGAUCAUGUUCUAGCUAUUAUGCACUUUCUGCGCUGGUAGUUUCUGGUAUGCCGACUCUAUGUCGGUUGUCUGAAUAUGUCGACUAUAUGUCGGUAAUUGUGAAAGUCCGAAUGACUAUCGGUCGGCAAUUCUGAUAUGCCGAUGAUCAUCGGUACGAAGUCAGUUGAGUCGUCAU